GACGAACGCUGGCGGCGUGCCUAAUACAUGCAAGUAGAACGCUGAAGGAGGAGCUUGCUUCUCUGGAUGAGUUGCGAACGGGUGAGUAACGCGUAGGUAACCUGCCCGGUAGUGGGGGAUAACUAUUGGAAACGAUAGCUAAUACCGCAUAACAGUAGAUGUUGCAUGACAUUUGCUGAAAAGGUGCAACUGCAUCACUACCAGAUGGAGCUGCGUUGUGUUAGCUAGUUGGUGAGGUAACGGCUCACCAAGGCGACGAUACCGAGCCGACCUGAGAGGGGGGUCGGCCACCCUGGGACUGGGACACGGCCCAGACUCCUACGGGAGGCAGCAAGAGGGAAACUUCGGCAAUGGGCGGAAGUCUGACCGAGCAACGCCGCGGGAGUGAAGAAGGUUUUCGGGUCGUAAAGCUCUGUUGUAAGGGAAGAACGAGUGUGAGAGUGGAAAGUUCACACUGUGACGGUAUCUUACCAGAAAGCGACGGCUAACUACGUG
RNAcentral lists this ribosomal RNA (495 nucleotides) under uncultured bacterium. Its description in RNAcentral is "partial 16S ribosomal RNA". It matches the Rfam family "Bacterial small subunit ribosomal RNA", at positions 28 to 507 of the family's 1533-position model. The record is from RNAcentral.